CCUACGGGAGGCAGCAGUGAGGAAUAUUGGUCAAUGGACGAGAGUCUGAACCAGCCAAGUAGCGUGAAGGAUGACUGCCCUAUGGGUUGUAAACUUCUUUUAUAAAGGAAUAAAACGAGGCACGUGUGCCUUUUUGCAUGUACUUUAUGAAUAAGGAUCGGCUAACUCCGUGCCAGCAGCCGCGGUAAUACGGAGGAUCCGAGCGUUAUCCGGAUUUAUUGGGUUUAAAGGGAGCGUAGAUGGGUUGUUAAGUCAGUUGUGAAAGUUUGCGGCUCAACCGUAAAAUUGCAAUUGGUACUGGCAGUCUUGGGUACAGUUGAGGUAGGCGGGAUUCGUGGUGUAGCGGUGAAAUGCUUAGGUAUCACGGAGGACCCCGAUUGCGGAGGCAGCUUACUAAGCUGUGACUGGCAUUGAUGCUCGAAAGUGUGGGUAUCAAACAAGAUUCGCUGCCCCUGGUAGUC
RNAcentral lists this ribosomal RNA (461 nucleotides) under uncultured bacterium. Its description in RNAcentral is "partial 16S ribosomal RNA". It matches the Rfam family "Bacterial small subunit ribosomal RNA", at positions 338 to 795 of the family's 1533-position model. The record is from RNAcentral.